This 439-nucleotide ribosomal RNA is filed under the name uncultured bacterium. RNAcentral describes it as "partial 16S ribosomal RNA". It matches the Rfam family "Bacterial small subunit ribosomal RNA", at positions 339 to 795 of the family's 1533-position model. The record is from RNAcentral.
CUACGGGGGGCUCCAGUGAGGAAUAUUGCACAAUGGGGGGAACCCUGAUGCAGCAACGCCGCGUGGAGGAUGACGCAUUUCGGUGCGUAAACUCCUUUUAUAUGUCAAGAAAAUGACGGUAGCAUAUGAAUAAGCGCCGGCUAACUCCGUGCCAGCAGCCGCGGUAAUACGGAGGGCGCAAGCGUUACUCGGAAUCACUGGGCGUAAAGGACGCGUAGGCGGGUUGAAAAGUCAGGUGUGAAAGCCUACAGCUUAACUGUAGAACUGCACUUGAAACUCUCAACCUAGAGUAUGGGAGGGGCAGAUGGAAUUAGUGGUGUAGGGGUAAAAUCCGUAGAUAUCACUAGGAAUACCUAAAGCGAAGGCGAUCUGCUGGAACAUUACUGACGCUAAGGCGUGAAAGCGUGGGGAGCAAACAGGAUUAGAUACCCUGGUAGUC